AUUGAACGCUGGCGGCAUGCUUUACACAUGCAAGUCGAACGGCAGCACGGGUGCUUGCACCUGGUGGCGAGUGGCGAACGGGUGAGUAAUGCACCGGAACGUAUCCAAUAAUGGGGGAUAACGCACCGAAAGGUGUGCUAAUACCGCAUACGCCCUGAGGGGGAAAGCGGGGGAUCGAAAGACCUCGCGUUAAUGGAGCGGCCGAUGUCGGAUUAGCUAGUUGGUGAGGUAAAGGCUCACCAAGGCGACGAUCCGUAGCUGGUCUGAGAGGACGACCAGCCACACUGGGACUGAGACACGGCCCAGACACCUAUGGGUGGCUG
This 323-nucleotide ribosomal RNA is filed under the name uncultured Pseudomonadota bacterium. RNAcentral's name for it is "bacterial SSU rRNA". It matches the Rfam family "Bacterial small subunit ribosomal RNA", at positions 30 to 351 of the family's 1533-position model. Lineage: Bacteria; Pseudomonadati; Pseudomonadota. The record is from RNAcentral.